RNAcentral lists this long non-coding RNA (389 nucleotides) under Malus domestica (apple). RNAcentral's name for it is "long non-coding RNA (MDOM_LNC020382)". Lineage: Eukaryota; Viridiplantae; Streptophyta; Magnoliopsida; Rosales; Rosaceae. The record is from RNAcentral.
UUUGGGCUUAAAGAAACGUUCGGGUUUAAUUGGGCCCAUUGGGCCUAAACCCUUUGGGCUUUUAUUCAAGCAUUGGAUGACUUGAAAUAAAUGAAAGCCCAAAGCCCAAACAACACAAAGAGGGCCGGCCAUAUUUAGUGGGGAAGGAGAGAAAAAUUAGUCAAGUGUUGACUAGGUUUCUUUUGUCUAUAUAAGCAACUUUAUAGAGAUAAAGUUCAUUAGGGUUUUUGUGUGUUAAAAACACAAAAAGAGGCAAAAGAAAAAGAGCUCUCUAAACUACACAAAGGCCGGCCACCAAAGGGGGUUUUUACUAACCUCUCUUACACCCUUUUGGUUAUUCCUUCAUCCUUCUCACUACACUAGUGGGUGAGGAUCUUUAGAGGUUUCCU